CUAAUCUUGGGCUGAAACAACUUUCCUGAACAGGUUAUGUGGGUCAUGAAUUUAUUUUGGACACGAGACCCUUCAAAAAGUCUGCAAAUAUUGAGGCUGUGGAUGUGGCCAAGAGACUCCAGGAUUAUGGAUUUCACGCCCCUACCAUGUCCUGGCCUGUGGCAGGGACCCUCAUGGUUGAGCCCACUGAGUCGGAGGACAAGGCAGAGCUGGACAGAUUCUGUGAUGCCAUGAUCAGCAUUCGGCAGGAAAUUGCUGACAUUGAGGAGGGCCGCAUCGACCCCAGGGUCAAUCCGCUGAAGGUGCGUAGGCCCUGGAACUUUGUUUGAAAUGUUCCUUAAACUAGAAAAUGAUGUCUGGACAGUGUACCAGCAACUCCUGAACUCUCAACUGAGGAUGAUACUCUUCCCUAGAAUAAGAUGUCUCCACACUCCCUGACCUGCGUUACAUCUUCCUGCUGGGACCGGCCUUAUUCCAGAGAGGUGGCAGCAUUCCCACUCCCCUUCGUGAAACCAGAGAACAAAUUCUGGCCAACGAUUGCCCGGAUUGAUGACAUAUAUGGAGAUCAGCACCUGGUUUGUACCUGCCCACCCAUGGAAGUUUAUGAGUCUCCAUUUUCUGAACAAAAGAGGGCCUCUUCUUAGUCCUCUCUCCCUAAGUUUAGAGGACUGAUUUGAUGCCUCUCCCGAGAGCAUUUGAUAAGCAAGAAAGAUUUCAUCUCCCACCCCAGCCUCAAGUAGGAGUUUUAUGUACUGUGUAUAU
This 762-nucleotide small RNA is filed under the name Pongo abelii (Sumatran orangutan). Its description in RNAcentral is "retained intron". The record is from RNAcentral. Lineage: Eukaryota; Metazoa; Chordata; Mammalia; Primates; Hominidae.